GGAUGUGAGGGCGAUCUGGUUGCAACAUGUGUCACCCCAUUGAUAGCCAGGGUUGAUUCGGCUGAUCUGGCUGGUUAGAUGUCCUCUUCCUCCCUUACCGCUCCAUGUGCGUCCCUCCCGAAGCUGCGAGCCCGAAGCUGCGAGGACGACCAUCCCCGACAGAGGAGGACCGGUCUUGGGUCAAGGGUAUACGAGUAGCUGCGCUCCCCUGCUAGAACCUCCAAACAAGCUCUCAAAAACAGAAGCGUUUGGUUUCUGUGGGAUAAAAGAUGCGAUAGCAUAGACAGAGGUUUUAGUUGCUUGAUGCAGAUAUGCAUUCCAAA
This is an unclassified non-coding RNA of Dipodomys ordii (Ord's kangaroo rat), 323 nucleotides long. Its record names the gene 7SK. It matches the Rfam family "7SK RNA". From Rfam's summary of the family: 7SK was discovered as an abundant small nuclear RNA in the mid-70s but a possible function has only recently been suggested. The record is from Ensembl. NCBI's taxonomy places the organism in Eukaryota, Metazoa, Chordata, Mammalia, Rodentia, Heteromyidae.